RNAcentral lists this long non-coding RNA (1350 nucleotides) under Sorghum bicolor (sorghum). RNAcentral's name for it is "long non-coding RNA (SBIC_LNC011124)". Lineage: Eukaryota; Viridiplantae; Streptophyta; Magnoliopsida; Poales; Poaceae. The record is from RNAcentral.
CAUCAAGUGGUAGUGCUUACCUAUGAAGCGAUCUUAAAUACUUCAUACAGAAUUAGUCGACACCCUUUGUGUAGUUCUCUCUUGUAACAUUCUCUCGACACUGCAAGUAGUAGGUCAAGUCUACUUAGGAUCCAUCUAUGGAGACCACAAAGGAGCACCAAGUAUCAUAGAAAGUGUGAUGCCUGUUGACCUAUCAAAGCAAGGCAAUAAGAAACCGAGGUCCUAAGAUAAGACUUAUUUUUCACCUUAGAAUAUACGAUGGUUUAUCAUGUGACAAAAUGCAGAACCUGAAGGACGGAUAUAACACCAUACCAUUAUGGUCAAUUUCUCAAGACCCCUUGGAUUGCUUUCUCAGGUGGUGUUCAAGAAUUUUCUCCUAGAUAAAUUUUUUGUCUUUUAGCUUAAGUCUCACACUUUUACUGAGAUAACUAAGGUUAUUCUUAAUCUAUCCUUUCCAAUCGUUAUGUUGAUUCUCUCCCUGUUCCUCGGAAUCUCCAAAAGUGCAGCGUGUUAUUAGACUGGUAAUCAUUGAAGGAAAUCUCUAAAGAUUGUUCUGAUCUGGCAAGAUGAAGUUCGUAAACGAGAGUUUUGAAAAUAAGCCAACACUUGGUUUAAGUGGGGUAGCGGCAGCUACGAUCAUCACUCUGGAAAGUCUCAACUUAGAAGACAUGGAGAACUAUAAAUUGAUCUUUAUCAUCCUUGCAAUGAGCCCGUAUCAUUUUUUGUCAUCGUGUGAUUUUGGAUCUUACAUCUCAUAGGACCACAAAUGAUUAAGCGUGAAGAUUAAAAAAAUCUAAGUCUUUGUCAACUUUUGAUCAUUCUUUAUCCUUUCAUCUACUAUCUUAUACAUAUUUGGAAUCAAGGAAAUUGUGAGCACUAUAAUAUCUAUCUUUGUCUCCUAUGUAUCAUCUCUUGUUAAUAUUGGCUUCUUGCCCUUGCACCAUAUCAUAAUUCAGGAUCCAAAGAUCAGUUCUUAUCUCAUAUGUUUAUUUUUUUCCUUGUCUUCAAUUUUUACCAUACUCUAUAUCCUUUAUGUCUAUUUUUAAUCCUUUAAUCACGUCUUGAAAGUCUCAAAACAACUUUGAUGAUCUACUUUAUCUUUCUCUCUAGUUUCUUCAAAUCUCGGGACGACAUUUAUGUUAAGUGGGGUAGAUCUAUAACACUCCAAAAUUUUUAAUUUUGGAUUGUUAUUAGAAAACACUAAAUUAAAUAAGGAUUUAAAAUUUUUCUAAAAUAUUCCAAGAUUUAUUUAAUUAUUGAAUUAAAAAAAGAGAGAAAAAAAUGUGGAAUUUUUAAAAAAAAUUAUAAAAAUAAGUGAUGAGUGUUUUAUUUGUUAUGUGCUUUGUGCCC